RNAcentral lists this long non-coding RNA (260 nucleotides) under Lathyrus oleraceus (garden pea). RNAcentral describes it as "Pisum sativum (pea) long non-coding RNA (PSAT_LNC010259)". The record is from RNAcentral. Lineage: Eukaryota; Viridiplantae; Streptophyta; Magnoliopsida; Fabales; Fabaceae.
UCACAACCGAUGUCUCAACAUCAGGGAACCAGGAUGAGUAACCAUCAGAAGAAGAAAUUCUAGAGAUGGAGAUGUCACCACUGUGGUAGAUUUGGUCACAUAAAACCCUUCUGCUAGAGGCUGCACGGUUAUCCUAACCAGACUACUCAAGUCAGACCUAAGCAGAAGGCAUCUAAGCAUAAUGCCCCCAUUAAGAAACAAAAAUGGGCUGCUAAUCAGACACCUCUAGUCAGACCUAAGCAGCAGGCACCUAAGCUUAA